UACGUAGGGUGCAAGCGUUGUCCGGAAUUAUUGGGCGUAAAGAGCUCGUAGGCGGUUUGUCGCGUCGAAUGUGAAAACCCGGGGCUCAACCUCGGGUCUGCAGUCGAUACGAGCAAACUAGAGUGUUGCAGGGGAGACUGGAAUUCCUGGUGUAGCGGUGAAAUGCGCAGAUAUCAGGAGGAACACCGGUGGCGAAGGCGGGUCUCUGGGCAACAACUGACGCUGAGGAGCGAAAGCGUGGGGAGCGAACAGG
This 253-nucleotide ribosomal RNA is filed under the name uncultured bacterium. RNAcentral describes it as "partial 16S ribosomal RNA". It matches the Rfam family "Bacterial small subunit ribosomal RNA", at positions 524 to 776 of the family's 1533-position model. The record is from RNAcentral.